Gambusia affinis (western mosquitofish) is the source of this 784-nucleotide long non-coding RNA. RefSeq lists it as uncharacterized. The transcript is spliced from 4 exons. The record is from RefSeq and is a predicted model, not a curated record. Lineage: Eukaryota; Metazoa; Chordata; Actinopteri; Cyprinodontiformes; Poeciliidae.
CAUGAUUGCAUGUCCUCCUGCUGCCUUGCCAGCUCAACAUUGUUCUGGACAUUUAUUCUCUAGUUGUCUCAUAUCUUGACAAUAAUUUUGAGUUUUUCUCUUAAUAAUUAUUAGUCUGUACCUGGUUCUUAACCUACAACAAUUCAUGACAAUAAAUAGGCUUUAUUUUUCGCAAGAGGAAAGUGAAUUAUUGGCCUUACAGAUCGCAACGUGGGACUAACAUCACAUCUCUUUGUUCUCCAUAACACUGGUGAAAACUGUCAAAUCAGAGAGGCUAGGGAAGCCUGCGACUCACCCACCCUGUCAAUCACCCUCCAUGUGUGCUGGCCCCGUCAGGCUGGAGGUGAGCACCGCUGACAGACUUCAAGCAACUAUCUCAAGGACAUCAGAGGGUCAUUUGCUCACAUCUGUAGGGUUGUGUAAGGUGAAGUUGAUUUUACUGGAGGAGAUAUGGUGUGUGCAUCCAGCAGGCUGCAGGAUGUAAAUGCAUAAACAAGAUUCAGAAAUCACUUCCAGGAAAGCAAGACGGAAACUGGAAGAAAACCGUUUUUGGAUAGAGCAAGAUGAGCCCAAGCAUAGGCUACAUGUUUCUUUCUCUUACUGUCACACGGGCUGUCCAGCACUAUGGCUCCAGGUGGUUUGUCUGACAGUCUUUAAACAUGAGAGAUAAGAGAGAAUAAUUAAUUUAUCAGAGCAGGGCAGGCUUUAAUCCCCGGUGUCCUGGUGAUAAGGGAAGGUUUCUUCUCCCCUGAUCCCUCUGCCGAUAUGGACCUUUUUUUUUUCC